RNAcentral lists this ribosomal RNA (889 nucleotides) under uncultured archaeon. RNAcentral describes it as "bacterial SSU rRNA". It matches the Rfam family "Archaeal small subunit ribosomal RNA", at positions 1 to 895 of the family's 1478-position model. The record is from RNAcentral.
UUUCCGGUUGAUCCUGCCAGAGGCUACUGCUAUCGGGGUUCGAUUAAGCCAUGCGAGUUAAAUGUUCUUUGUGAACAUAGCGAACUGCUCAGUAACACGUGGAUAACCUACCCUUAGGACCGGAAUAACCCCGGGAAACUGGGGAUAAUACCGGAUAAGCCAUAGACGCUGGAAUGCCCUAUGGUUCAAAGCUCCGGCGCCUAAGGAUGGAUCUGCGGUCUAUCAGGUUGUAGUGGGUGUAACGUACCUACUAGCCGACGACGGAUACGGGUUGUGAGAGCAAGGGCCCGGAGAUGGAUUCUGAGACACGAAUCCAGGCCCUACGGGGUGCAGCAGGCGCGAAACCUUUACAAUGUGCGAAAGCAUGAUAAGGGAACUCCGAGUGCCAGUAUCUAAUACUGGCUGUCCUUGUGCCUAAAACGCACAAGAUAGCAAGGGCCGGGUAAGACCGGUGCCAGCCGCCGCGGUAACACCGGCGGCCCGAGUGGUAGCCGCUAUUAUUGGGUCUAAAGGGUCCGUAGCCGGUUCGAUAAGUCCUCUGGGAAAUCUGGUUGCUUAACAAUCAGACUGCCAAGGGAUACUGUCGGACUUGAGACCGGGAGAGGUAAGAGGUACUUCAGGGGUAGGAGUGAAAUCUUGUAAUCCCUGGGGGACCAUCUGUGGCGAAGGCGUCUUACCAGAACGGGUCUGACGGUGAGGGACGAAAGCUGGGGGCGCAAACCGGAUUAGAUACCCGGGUAGUCCCAGCCGUAAACGAUGCUCGCUAUGUGUCAGGUACGGUGUGACCGUAUCUGGUGCCGUAGGGAAGCCUCUACUAGCCACCUGGGAAGUACGGUCGCAAGACUGAAACUUAAAGGAAUGGCGGGGGAGCACUACAAACGGAUUUUCC